GCCUGCAAGAGCUGCUGAACAUGUUGAAAACAGUAGAGAGCCAUUUCAAGGGUGAAAAGGCUCCAGUACUUCUUGUUGAUAAGAUCAAUAAGAAGAAGAUGAAGAAGAGUUUUAAGAAAAAGAUGAAUCCUAAGGCUGGCAUCUCUAAGAAAAAGAUGAAGAACAUCUCCACCAAAGGUACUUGCUAUCACUGUGGCAAGGAGGGCC
Molecule: long non-coding RNA, 207 nt
Filed under: Elaeis guineensis (African oil palm)
Lineage: Eukaryota; Viridiplantae; Streptophyta; Magnoliopsida; Arecales; Arecaceae
Description: long non-coding RNA (EGUI_LNC081909)
Source: RNAcentral